CGUGUAGGCGGCCCGGUAAGUCUGCUGUGAAAACCCGGGGCUCAACCCCGGGCGUGCAGUGGAAACUGCCGGGCUAGAGGGCGGCAGAGGCGAGUGGAAUUCCCGGUGUAGCGGUGAAAUGCGCAGAUAUCGGGAGGAACACCAGUAGCGAAGGCGGCUCGCUGGGCCGUCCCUGACGCUGAGACGCGAAAGCUAGGGGAGCGAAACA
Molecule: ribosomal RNA, 208 nt
Filed under: uncultured bacterium
Lineage: Bacteria
Description: partial 16S ribosomal RNA
Rfam family: Bacterial small subunit ribosomal RNA
Source: RNAcentral